This is a non-coding RNA of Carica papaya (papaya), 940 nucleotides long. The record is from RefSeq and is a predicted model, not a curated record. NCBI's taxonomy places the organism in Eukaryota, Viridiplantae, Streptophyta, Magnoliopsida, Brassicales, Caricaceae.
AAUCGGAAUCAUCAGGAGUAAAAGCCCAAGCGUUCUCCGCGCGAACUGCUGCUUCUUCCUCGGGCGUGAAAUCGUUCUUGAUAUGGAAAAUUUUCCGAAUCUGCUCCGUACUUUUCCCCUUCAUCAAUGAUGCGAUGUGCUUGCAGAGCUGAUCCAGCAGUGAUUCAGCCUCCAGGUAAUCAGCCGCCCUAACCAAUUCGAAAAACGUUUCUUCAUCCUUCCGAAACACCUCGUAACAAAACCUAGCUUCCCAUUCCUUGAGACUAAUCAAACCCUCGCCUCUCCUCCUAUCUCUCCACUUCGGAAUCUUGCAGCAGCUCGCUGUAUCUUCUUGCGAAUGCUCCUUGAACCACUCGAUUGCCAAAACUAGCACCUUCGAUUUAACCGCCGGCAACGGAAUCACGCCGUCGCCGUACCCGUCCUCCACCAUAAGUUUUAUGGUUUUCGCCUGAAUCGCUAAAGAUUCUUCCACCUCGAUUACCUGGUUGUCUGAUGUCAACAGCGUUAAGAUCUUUUUCUCAGCCGGAGUCGAAGACGACGAUGACGAUGAAGGACCAAGGUUGUCUAAAGAACUUCUCCAUUGACUUGCUGCGAGAUUUCUUACAGUUGUAAAUUGUGUCCAAGGGAUGAUGAUACGAUGUGCCUGAGAUCUGAAUAAAACUUAAAUGUCAUCAAUCUUUGUCCUGUGUAGGAAAAUGGGCCAGAAAAAAGAUUUUGAAGCUGUUGACAUCAGACAAUGAGGUAUUCGAGGUGGAAGAAUCUUUGGCGUUUCAGGCGAGAACCAUAAAACUGAUGGUGGAGGAUGGAUACAGCGACGGCCUUAUUCCAUUGCCGUCGGUGAGGUCGAGUGGUUCAAGGAGCAUUCAAACGAAGUUGAGCUAGGUUUAAAUAGUCUAAAGGAAUGGGAAUCUAGGUUUUGCAACAAGCUCUUUCAGAAGGA